ACAGAGGCAACACGAGAACAGUGGAAUCAGACUCGGUGAGUCUAUACACAGACUUUAUGUUCAAAACGGAGGAAGCGAGAUUAAGCUGAGUCAAAGGCACGCCUUUGGGGCGGCUGGUUGUUCCAGAGGUGUGGAGGAAGAGCGCCAUGUCAGACGAGUCGUUUACGAGUUCACUGACGGAGCCGACAUUUGACUCGGUAUUUGACGAAGAGAG
RNAcentral lists this unclassified non-coding RNA (214 nucleotides) under Hevea brasiliensis (rubber tree). The record is from RNAcentral. Lineage: Eukaryota; Viridiplantae; Streptophyta; Magnoliopsida; Malpighiales; Euphorbiaceae.